GUGCUGGCUUCAGAAGCACAUAUACUAAAAUUGGAACAAUACAGAGAAGAUCAACAUGGCCCUUGCACAAGGAUAACAUGCAAAUCUGUGAAGUGUCCCAUUUUUUU
Lynx canadensis (Canada lynx) is the source of this 107-nucleotide small nuclear RNA. NCBI's taxonomy places the organism in Eukaryota, Metazoa, Chordata, Mammalia, Carnivora, Felidae. The record is from Ensembl.